This 103-nucleotide microRNA precursor is filed under the name Marmota monax (woodchuck). Lineage: Eukaryota; Metazoa; Chordata; Mammalia; Rodentia; Sciuridae. The record is from RNAcentral.
AGUGGGAUAGCUGGGUCAAAUGAUGGUUCUAUUCCAUGUUUUAUGAGGAAUCUCCAGACUGCUUUACAUACUGGUUGCACCAAUUUGCAGUCCCACCAGCAAU